RNAcentral lists this long non-coding RNA (702 nucleotides) under Ananas comosus (pineapple). RNAcentral's name for it is "long non-coding RNA (ACOM_LNC037698)". The record is from RNAcentral. Lineage: Eukaryota; Viridiplantae; Streptophyta; Magnoliopsida; Poales; Bromeliaceae.
CACCAAGAGGUUCAGUAUUCCAUUCUACUGGAAUGCCACUACAUGCUGCUAGGCGUCACUGGUGGAUUGUGAGACUCAUGAGAAUUAUCUAGAUGAUUGAUAAUUCUCAUUGGGCUGAGUUGGAGUUGUUCUAAUCCAUUGAAAGGAGUUUCAGUGAUAUUGUUGAUAGUGAUCAAAAUAUAUCUCAUUACCAGAUAGAAUAGAACCUAUGGGGUCACACACAUAAGAGGUUGUGAUUGAUUGGAUAGCUAGAUCGUGAUUAUUGAAUCGCCGGAAGACCUAAUUGUCAAUAUGUUGAUAAUUGGACUAAUUUGUAAUUGUUACAAAUUAUUGGUAUUAAAGUAUAAAUGUUACUAGAGAGGACUUACUAAUAGUUAGUAAAUUAUAAGAGGACUUAUGUGCAAAUGUUGCAUUAUUAAUUUGAUAAGAUCAAAUUAAUAUAAAAUUCAAGUCGAAUCAAAUUAGGAUUUGAUCGAUCUAACCAAUUAAGGAAAGGAUAAAUUUAAUCUAGAUUUAUACUUAUCCUUAAUUGUCAUUAUAUUAUUAGGAAUAGGAUUAUAUUCCUAUAUAUAAGAAGAGAAGAUGGAGAUGAUCUCCUCCAAUGCUUACUUCUCCUUCUUCUCCUUCCUCUUCUUCUUCUCUUCUUUCUCUUCUUCUCUUUUCGUCUAGAGAGAGAGAGAGAGAUGAAUCGGUGAGCGGGGG